UGCUGCCACCUGGAGCAAUGUUUGAACUUCAUCUCGAAUGCGUCGGGCCUGGGAAUUUGAUGGUUCUGGCAUGUUACGUAGUAGCAUCGUCGCUGCCACUACAUUCUGCCCUGCUCGAGGGAAACGGCUGACAGGUUGCUCCGCCUCUGCGUCACCGACGAUCUGUCGAUGUACCUCUCGAGCGCGUCUGCGGACACUUCCGCCCGGCGGGUAGGGCAGGUCUUGUUCGAGGAUCUGCUCGAGCAGGACGAGGCGCUCGCGAUCUUCGUCGAGCUUCAUCUUGAGCUCCCGCAGCUGCGCGAGCUGCGCAGUUCUAUCUUCCUGAGGAAGAGGGUCGAGCCGUCCGUCGUUCCCAGGCGUCCUGGGGUCUUCUUGCGCCGCGGGGGCUCGACCACCCGCAGCAGCAUCCCGUGCCUCGUCGGUGGUUUCUGCCGCCCCGUCGACGUGAUAGCAUUCCCUCGUAGGGUCAUAGCUGUCUGUCUCGGAGUCGGAGUCCGGUUCGGCGGCAUGGAAACACCCACGUCCUUCCUCCAGCAAUCGUUGCCUGAGGGAGGUGAUCGAGUAUCGUCCGGGGCCUAGACGGCGGAGGCCUCGUACUCGGGAAAGGUCCGGCACCUCGGACGCCGGCCGUCGUGCUUCAGAGCUACGUGGGAGGACCAUUGGUCUUUCUACGUACGUCUGGGCGUUUGGGCAUGUCGCCUUGGCGAGCGACGCCGCGGCGUUAUCCAACCCGAACGGCAGUGCCGCCCUUGGAGAGAACAACCCGUGUGGAAGUAGCCUAGCUGCGGUGGGGGAGGGCGCGCGAGACGCGUCUCCCCCCGUCGUCGCGCGGUGCUGAGCCGUCGUGCUUGUUGCUCGGUCACACGGUGUUGCCGACCCGUGGUCCACAUCCUGCCUUGCACGAGUUGUUGGUCGUGCUGAAGCAGAGGGGCCGCGGCGGUGCUGCCCGCGCCUCUUCUUAGGCGGGGAGGCGUGGUGGUGAGGGCGUCUCGGAGCCUUCAACCGUGCUGGCGUAACGCGGACUCCUCCUGGUCCUUUGACUGAGAGCAAGAUCAUGUCGUAGCCGGAGCCCGUAGACACGAACUCGAGACUCCCAAACCAAAUCACCGUGGAGCGCGGAAGCGGCGAGGCAAGAGUAGCCAUCCGGAAAGUGGUGGGAAAUCGGUGAAAAACACGCAGGACCCCUACCUGGCGCGCCAACUGUCGGUGUUUUUACCCCGGGGGGUCACACCAACGAGUAAAUUUGUAUGCGUGCUCCCCUUUCCGGAUGGUGAUGCAAGAAGACACAGAGAUUUAUCCUGGUUCGGGCAAGAGAAGGCCCUACGUCCAGCGGGGGGAGAGAGUUUGUAUUAUCUUGCACCUAAGUGCUUGUACAGGGGUGAAUACAAGCGUGGUAUGAAGUGUAUAGCUCUACUACGUGUAUGUGUGUUCUUGUGUUGUGAUCUCCCUCCCUUCUAUUCCUGAGUCUCUCCUUUUAUAGCUCCAAGGAGAGACACAGGGUACAUGCGUAGAUGUUAGAGUAGGGAUCGAUAGCCACAUGGAGCGCUGACCUACUCGAGGCUUCCGUACGGCAUGGCCUCGAGCCGUCCCAUCUUGAUAGCCUGGUGAUGAUUACGCGUGCUCCUGCGUGCUGCCCUGCCAGCCGCCUUGUGCUGGUUCUGAGGUCGCAUGCUCGUAUGGUAUGGUGGCGGAUCCGGCGGGGCAGCUGUGGUGUUGUCAGUCGACGCCCAACUUGUCCCUGGGAAGGAACCUUGUUCGGUCGAGGGUCGGGCGCCGCGUAAUAUGCUGAUAUCUGGAGCGCUGACCUUGGGUGUCUCGAGGGGGUCCCGAUUAGACGUUCCAUCCUUGUUUCCUGCGUCCUGACACGCCCUGGGUCGUUCGGUGGGAAGGCUGCAAAAAGAACGAUGGGACAGAAGCUUGUUCCCUAUCACGCCUUCCGUGACCCGUGUGUUAGGUGGGAAGCGUCAGAUGCAUUUAAUGCUCACGCCCGCGUGCGCGCGUCAGGCGGCGGACAGUGUCCUGGCGCUCGACGCCUCUCGGUUCGCUCGAGCCCGCUUCCGUUUUCGACGGUAGUCGUCGCUCGAGCCCUGACCGAUUCGCUCGACGCUAUUUCCGUCUUCGAGGCUGCGACCGUCGAUGGCGGCGCGUACGUAAGAUUAAAGCGUCGAAUUGAGGGUCCCAACCUUCGUACGGGCAAUCUCAUAAUGCGCAUCGCUGAGGGUACCCCUUACCGAUACCCUCGACACCUAUAUUAGGACUCCUACUCCAUAUUGAUUUAGACGCAAGUUGUCCAAUUUUCAUCUGGCACGGACGCUUCCGCGGUUCCGCCAGGCUCUGGUCACGCUCGUGCGCUCGAGGCGAGACCCGCGCUGCCGCAGUGACCUGGCCAGGCUGGCGUCCGCGUCGCACGCGCGACCUCCCACGCCUCACGGCUGCCUUUGCACGCCACAGCCGCCAAGCCUCACGCGCCGCUCCCCGAUGGCCUCCCUGCGAACACCGUGGCGCUGACGGCCGUGCUCGCCGACGGCACCAUCAUCGUGGCGUCCGACGACUGUCUUCUCGGGCCUCUCCUCGCUCUCCAACUCCGCCGUCGCCGCCCACGUCGUCGAGGUCGCCUCCAUGCCGUGGGUCACCGCCGCCACCGCAUAUGGUGGGUGGCUGACCUCGUGCGCUGGAUGUCGCGUGCCAAGUGGCGGUUCGCCGAGAAGCAUAACGGCAGGGGCGACGACGAGGACGAGGCUUCCACCGUGCAGCUCCGGUCCGAGACGCGCAUGAAUCCCCAGGAGAGGGUGCGGAAGGCGGCGUUCGAGCGGCACAAGAACUUGGAGCGCUACAUUACCAACAUCGACGACGGCAGUGGCGAGAAGGUGUUCCAAGCGUUGGUCAACACCAGAGUGUCCUUGCUCAACAUUCUGAGCACGUACAUAUAGAAACUGUCGUCCUGGAGUCAAUCUAUUGGUUCACCUGCAUCUUUCAAGAGAUUUGAUUUGAAAUAGGGCGUUCUGAAUUGCAAAAGUCGUAACUUUUGGUUGUGUUCUUGUCAACAAGCGAUCGAAUCUUAGUGCAGAACUCUUCUCCGAAGUCUUCGUUAUCAAGACUCCAGAAAGGACAUAUAGAUUGAUCGGUGUCUAUUGAGAUUUUUGCAUAACAGAAUAUACCAUGUCCAUGUGUGCCACGGUGAAUCCGUUGAUGAAUUUUGAUCGCCUAUGGCUCCAGCCACCAUAAGCGUUGGAUCAUGUUAUUGCUCAUCCAAAGUGUGCAGACUGUGUCUGCAGCUGAACUGAACCACCAAAUUUGAAUCUGAUCCAUCCAUAGACUAGAAAAACUAAGAAAUUGACGUUCAUCCAUCGCACGCGACACGGCCUGCACACUACUCCAAAGUACUAUCCAGGUUUUAGUAUUGUCUAGGUUUAAAGUCCUAAUUGAUUCAAUACUAGAUCUGCCGUAGUUAGUGUUUAUCUCUUACUAAAAGUCCUAAUUGAUUCAAUACAAGUUUAUUCAAGAUUAUAGCAUUUACAUUGUUAAUAAAAACUUUUUUGAUAAUUUAUGAUUUUAUUAUUGAUGUUAAAAUUAUUUUUUUUCCGUUGCAACGCACGGGCACUUUUACUAGUGUAUAUAUAUAAAUAUAAUUCCUAUCCCUCUGAAUCUAUAAUGAUUUUUUUAAAUGGCUAAAGACGGUAAUAAUGUUUGAUUUUUAGGACAACUUACGUGUGAUCUGUAAAAGAGGAGGGACUGUUAACUAGUAAACGCCAGCCUAGUUUUAUAUCAGGGGGCCUUAGUUUUUCUUACUUGUCGUCCUGUCUUUCUUGGAGGUCAAGUCAUGCAGCGUCGCGUCCUACCUAUAUCGAUCUCUGUCAAAGUAUGGAACAUUCAUAUAAUAAACAUCAAAUGAAGCUAAUCAAGUUGUCAAACACGCCACCGGCAUAAGGCAUCGUACGCGUACUUAGGCCUUGUUUUUACUUGCAAAAAAUUUUACAAAAUGUGAAUAGUAACACUUUUGUUUGUAUUUGAUAAAUUUUGUUCAAUUGUAAGCUAACUAGGCUCAAAAGAUUCGUCUCAUAAAUUAUAUGCAAACUAUGUAAUUAGGCCUUGUUUACUUCUAAAAAAUUUUGCAAAAUAUGAAUAGUAGCAUUUUUGUUUGUAUUUGACAAAUAUUGUUUAAUUAUGAACUAACUAGGCUUAAAAGAUUCGUCUCGUCAAUUCCGACCAAACUGUGCAAUUAGUUUUUAUUUUCGUCUAUAUUUAAUACUCCAUGUAUACGGAUAAAGAUUCGAUGUGACGGAGAAUCUGAAAAAUUUUGCAAAAUUUUUAGGUAACUAAACUAGGCCUUAGUUAUUUUUUACCUAUAUUUAAUGCUUUAUACAUGUAUCGUAAGAUUCGAUGUGACGAGCAAUCUGAAACUUUUUGUAAAAUAUUUGAGGAAGUAAGGCCUUGUUUAGUUCGCAAAAUUUUUCAAGAUUCCCCGUCACAUCGAAUCUUGCGGUACAUGCAUGGAGCAUUAAAUAUACAUAAAAACAAAAACUAUUUGCACAGUUCAUCUGUAAACCGCGAGAUGAAUCUUUUGAGCCUAAUUACUCUAUAAUUGGACAAUGUUUGUCAAAUAAAAACGAAAGUGCUACAGUGUCGUUUUUCACAAGUUUUUGCGAACUGAACAAGGCCUAAACAAGGCCUUAGCGGUACCAGAGUUUGCCAGCUAUAAUGAUUUCGACGUCAACUUUGAGGACAUCGUGAAAACACCACGAACAUCUACUACGCCUACAACCGGCAGGUAUUAUACACGUUAUUAAAUCACAUCAGUCAUAUUGUUUGAUAUAUCUGCAACGCGUUCUGAAUCUAUCAUGUCUAUGCUAUGGUGUAUGUCGUCUUGUUAUGCUAGUGUCGUAUCUGUAUUGAUCUGUCAUGCUAGUAUAAUCUACAUGUUUAAUCUUUUUCAUCUAUAUGUCAUGGUUUAUGCUCUGGUAUUAAUCUUAAUUUUAAUCUGAAAAAUGCCUAAUUAUUUAACGGUGUUACUAUACUCCGUCCGUCUAGAGGCAACAAGAGUAGUAAAAUACGGAGCCUCAUUCAAUGAAAGAGAAUCUUGCCACACUAACGACUCAGGCUUUGUUUAGAUGUGAAAAAAUUUUGGAUUUCGCUAUUGUAGCACUUUCGUUUGUUUGUGGUAAAUAUUGUCCAGUCAUAGACUAACUAGGGUCAAAAGAUUCGUCUCGCGAUUUACCGUCAAACUGUGUGAUUAGUUUUUGUUUUCGUUUAUAUUUAAUGUUUUAUGCAUGUGCCGCAAGAUUCGAUGUGACAGAAAAUCUUGAAAACUUUUUGGAUUUCGGGGUAAACUAAACAAGGCCUCAACAGCACCAAGAAGUUAAUCAAACUUGUCUAACUUUAGACGUGGUAAAUCGUAAACAAUGAUAAAUUAUGAUUACUCGCUCCGCUUUUACAUUUCGUGUUAUCUUUGCUGGUUCGUCUUAAGUCAAACAUAUGUUGCUUUUACCAUCAUAUAUUUCAAAACUUAUAGAGAUUCAUGGCAUAAGGCUUAUGUUUUUAGAUUUACGAUAAGAAAUAUUUUCAUAUAUAUAUAAAAUUCCUAUCCUUUGAAUCUAUAAUGUUUUUUUUAAAAAAAAAUUGCUAAAGACGGUAAUGUUUGAUUUUUAGGACAAAACUACGUGUGAUUUGUAAAAGAGGAGGGACUGUCAACUAGUAAACCCCACCAGCAUAAUUUUAUAUCAGGGGCCUUAGUUUUUUUAAUAAAGUUGUCGUCCUGUCUUUCUUGGAGGUCAAGUCAUGCAGCGUCGCGUCCUACCUGUAUCGAUCUCUGUCAAAGUAUGAAACAUUCAUAUAAUAAACAAACAAAUGAAGCAAAUCAAGUUGUCAAACACGGCACCGACAAAGCCUGAGUCUAUACUUCAUGUUUCUCCUAAUAUAAUAAACAGAAUUUUUAGAGAGAGAGAGAGAGAGGUAUGCUUCGUGCCACAGACGACGUCUUACGAUCCAUCCACGAGACCACGACGUCGCUGGAUUCGGCGGGCUGAAGCUUCCGCAGAAAUUCUCGCGCCCCACAUUGCUCUAGUUCUAAAAUAUUUUGCAAAAUGGAUACGGUAGCUUUUUCGUUUGUAUUUGACAAAUAUUGUCCAAACAUGGACUAACUAGACUCAAAAGAUUUGUCUCGUCAAUUCCGAUCAAACUGUGCAAUUAGUUUUUAUUUUUAUCUAUAUUUAGUACUUCAUGCAUGUGUCUAAAGAUUCGAUGUGACGGAGAAUCUGAAAAAUUUUGUAAAAUUUUUUGGAACUAAACAAGGCCCCAGUUCUUCCUUGAUUUCGUCGUAAAUUCUGGGAUGGACUGGCCCGCCCCGCCCGUCCCGUCCCGUCCCGUCCCCGCGUGGAUUGCCGGCUCUCGCUUGACCUGGACUCACAUCUCGCUGAGAAAAAUAAAAAAUCAGGCAGACCCACACGUAAUUCAUAGGAGUACGUGUCAUAGCUCCAGAGUACCACCGCCGCCCGCUGAGCCGGAGCUUGCGGUGACUUGUGCGCGCCGCCCACCCCGGCCGCUGACCUUUUUUUGUUGUUGUUGGGGUGGGGGCUGCGCCGCUGGGGCUGCCGCAUCCGCCCGCGGCUUGGCUUUCACCGUCAGCGCCACGUACGCACGCGUCGCAGACGCCCGGACGCCCGGUGCGGUACUCGCACCGACAAAACCGCCAAAGACCACGACGACGUGCGCGUGCUGACUAGUCGCCCGGGGCCUGUCAGCGACAGACAAGCUGCUGACUGCCGGCGAGCCCGUGGAUCUGCGGAGAAAUAUUUUGAUGCCCGUACGGUAUCUUCUCCGAUCCGCGCCCCUUGACCAUUGCCACCAAACCACGACGAGAUGCUAUGCUGCUGAGCAGAUCUGCAUCCCUAUGACGCGCGCGAUUCCUGUGGUCCGUCCGGUUCACGAACGUGCAUUCCAUUCCUGUCUCAAGCUGGCAGGGAAUCAAAAGCUGGAAGCAAAUGUAUCCGUACGUACGAAAGCGCUGGCAGGCUCCGUGAAUUUGCAACUCGCCGGCAAUGCAAACAAUAGCACGCCGCGCGCCGGACACUUGUAUUUCGCGACGUGCACGUGCUGCACUUUCUGGCGGUUACCACCAAACCCUGCACGAGCACAACGACAGGCACAGGCACGCGCAUCUGUCUCCUAGCUGUUCGAUUCACAUCAAUCUUGUGAGUGCUUCGGUUCGUCCUCCCUGGACUCCUCUACGGUGUGAACCAACAACAACAACGAGCUAGGCUAGGCCGUGCUGCUUCAAUCUAGUAACUAACUGUUUAGGCACCUCAACGGUUCCACUUCCACAUCGACACACACUUCAGCAUUAUUUUUCUUAGACAUUAUUGUUUGAAUAUUAUUGGAUUCACCUCAAACCACAUGUGUUAAUUCAAGUUUCACUCCAAUCUAUCCCAAGACAUGUGGAUUGAUGCGAAUCCAACUACUAAACGAAAGAAGAAACACAAGAGCUACCUCUUCAUCCCAUAGGGCGAGCUUGAACAAAAUAUGAGAAACUUAUGAGUCUUACUCAUUGCCGGCCUCUUUCAUUUUCAUUGUUAUAGCCGACUAUACAUAGAAGUACGGUCCUCUAUGAAAACUUGUCAUCACAUCUAGCGGCUCUUGGGGAGGGCAUGGAGGUGGAGUGAUGGAUCGUGACAACUUGGAGAAAUCGGUGGACAAGAAAGGGAAGUGAUCGAAGUGUCUAAUGGUGCGACUGGUAGUCUAGAAUCAAGUGGCCUAGAGCAGGAGCGUUAAGCGUCCGCACGCAUCGCGGUUAGGGCUUGGAGUCAAGCGUAGUGUGGGAGCAUAAAGCGCUCACCCGCAUGGUGGCUGCGGCCAGGCAAGGGGGCUUGGAGCGAGCAUGCGAUAGCAAGCUAACACUAGUGUGGGUGAUUCCUCGACACAAGUUGUGGCAGUGUCUCGGUGUGAAGAGAGAGGGCCAGGGAGCACUCACGCGCAUGUCCACAGUUGCAUGGCAUAGGGGCAUGGAGUGUUGUGUAGUGUCCUAGUGGGACGGAGAGGGGUGGAUAGCACUCACUCGCACGUCGAUGGUGCCCUACCGUAAGGGGCACAAAGUGUUAGUGUGCUCACAGCGAUUGUUAGCGCAGAUUGGUCAGAGCGUGCAUCAGAAUCUCACGCACAAAGGGCAGUGGUGCCUCGGUGUUGUUAGUAUAGAUAAGAUGAGGAGGGAAGGAAAGGUGGGAAAGAGAAAGUAUGUGGGACCUAUGAUGGCAUAUUAAGAUUAAUGUGCUAAAAGGCUUAUCUCCUCUUCUGCCUUUUAGAUAACACGACAGUGGCAUGUCAAACAUGAUCUAGCUUGAUAAAUCAGUUGUUCGGGAGCUUGUUGAUUCAACUGUUGUUGAUGAGAGGAGUAUUGCAUGUAAUUGAGUCAUAGCAUGUGCAUAGAAGUGGACGCGCAUCACAUGGACAACACACUUAGGCCCCGUUUGGUAGAGAUUGUCUGGUAGCUUUAGGAGCAAUUCUACACUAUAUUUUGCCAACAGGGCACGUCAAAUGGCUCUAUGAACGAAGCUCUUGAAGUCGCACCGAGAGAGAUUUACCGAAGCUAGAGGAGUUGAAAAAUAAGACUUUUCUCGACUUUGUCAUCCUUACUUGUGGGCUAGCCCUAAAAUACCCCUUUGCCAUGUGUGUGGGACAGACACAAUAGCAGGAUUUUGACCGAGGUGCUAGGGCAAAGUCGGAAGGCUAGGUAGGGUGGAGUGUUGGGGGCAUGGGGUGGGGUGGAGUUGACAAUGAAAUGAUGGAUGGGGCGGGGCAAUAGAGUGGUAUAGGGAAACACAAGGUGGCUAGAUGAAGAAGAUGAUAAGGGGGAGGGACGAUAGAAAUACAUAAUGGAAGAGAAAAGAGAAAAAAGAAAAAAAUAGAGAAAGGUAUUAUGGAUAUUUCACCCUUUUAUCUUCCAUGAGAAGUUGUUUAGCUAAAUAUUUUUCUAAAAUAGCUUCAGCUCCACUUGUGGUGCUGUUUAUGGAGCCAAAGCUAAAAAGGCUACUCCACUAACGAAGCGAAACUUGUUUUCUGGCUUGGAGGCAACGACCUUAGCAGUUGAGACAGUGGCGAGAGAGAGGAAGGACAUCCUAGACCAACUUCUCCACAUGCAAAUAGAGGCUAUCAACGGAACUAGUCUAGGUAAUCUUAUAAAACUAGCCUUGACCGAAAAAACUUCAUAUGCGCUAACAUUGCUACUGACCAGCCUAUGCCCAUUUGUCUACAAUCUCCCAAAAAGUCUAAAAAUCAUUUUUAUUUUUUUUUGUGAUUUGGAACUUGAACUCCGUUACUCAUUUGCCUUCAUAUGAUCCAUACAAAUUUGUUUCACAAGAAUGUGGUACUUAAUCCUUGGUUCUUGACUCUUGAGAAAUUUUGAAAUUACAACCAAGGAUCCUCGAAACUUUAGAUUUUGCAAAAGCGACAUAUUGAGGAUGAUGCACAACUUCUUUGCCUUCCUUUGGUUCAUACAAACUUGAUUUGAGAGAUUUAUGAGAUUUUGAGAGAAUUAGCCUAAAUGGAUUUAAGAAAAUCUCUUAACUUAUGAUUAGCCAACAAACAACCAUCGAACCAUAUCCACAAGUGAGUAGAUAGAAUCACAAAGAUCCAAAUAUUUACAAAACCAUCUACACUUGGUCAUCUAGUUGUUUUUUUCUCAAAUUAUAUCCUAUUUCAAAUCAAUACAAGCAUGAUAUAUUUAGCUCAUACCCACAUUUUUUAAAAAUAAUCCCUCAUCACAUGAAACUAAUUCAGAUAAUGUAAAAAGAGUUGAGAGUAUCUGUCAAAUAUCGAAGACCAUUGCAAUUCACCAAAAUAUGGACUCUUGGUGAAACUUAAAUAAGUUACACACAAAUACACGCAUUAGCAUAAAAAGGGCUUUAGAUGCACAUCAGUAUUUUAAAUACUUAAUGUAAUCAGAUACCUUGGUCUCUAGCAACCAAUUUUUACUUUUAGGUGAAGAGAAACGUUUAGGCUUGUGAUAUACAUUUGAACAAGCACAAUAUCAUCUUAUUGAUUUUGUAUGGAUAAGCUCUAGACAGGAGAUUACAUUAGUAGUAACACAAGCAUUAGUUUCUUAUUUUAGCAACCCUUUAAACGUCGAUGAGAAUUAAGCGACCAAAAUAGAGAAAUCUUAUAACAUGGAUUAAAUCUCCUUCAAAACACUUAGUGAGAUUACACAAAUAACUUAGAGGAAAUGUUAGCCCCACAACAGUAGUCAUAGAGUAAGUUCCCAUUAUGAUAAACACUCUAAGUAUUCCAAUUCUUCAUAUAGCACUUUAUUCAUUUAAGAGUUUGGAGGCUUUUACUCUAUGUCUAGGUCAUGACAACAAUAAUAUAAUUCAAAUUGAACUUAUGCCAAGAUAUAAUUUGAGUUAUUUAGUGACCACUCAAGUGGGCCAUCCAAUCAUUAGCUGCUCAAAUAAUUACCAAUAUGCAUAUAUCAUGUGUGUGUGUAUAUAACAAGUUGUAACCCUAAUGCUACCUCUUCAGCCUCUUGUCCUUAUUCUUGAUUCUUAGUUGGCCCCGACAAUCGCCAUUCCUACCUUCGGCCUCCCUAGCACCCAAUCGCUAGUCCAUCACCCUACCUUCGGCCUCUCCAAUCACGUGACCUGGUGCCAAGUAGAUCUAGCAUUCAAACCACUGGAAAGUGUCAGACCAGACAUCGACGCCACACGAGUGCGAUUGUGGGCAGGUGUUGACGGUCCUUAAUGCUCACAUUUAACCAUCAACUAAUCAUGGAAAAGGAUCCAAAUGCAACCAACACCUAGACUUAGGGUUUUAUCUGACAGAAUUCCACGAGUUUUGGUGUUUGUCUGUUUCUGCAGAGGGUUAUCAGGAAAUACGGAAGAAAGGCCCACACGUCGGGUUUACAUAGAGAUAUUAACGUGCCGCGCAAUUUUCUAUCAUCUAGAAGACUCCAGAAGCCACGGGACCGAAGCGGAGGCCGAGAGGGCUCAGGCACAGGGCGCCCGCCCUCCCUUACUGGGCGCCCGCCCUCCCCCCUGAACCAAUCAGGGUGAAGUUCGGGGAUCAUGCUCCACCGACCUAAUACUUCAAGGAAAACCACACGAUCAAUGUCGGUUUGAUCCGACGGCCCAGAUUCACUUGAAGGGACUAUAAAACCAGACCCCCCUGGCCCCUGGAGAUCAUACCUCUUCUACAGAAACAAAGCUAGGGUUUCAAUUCUUCAUCCAAGUAGAGAGGAUCCCUCUAGUUCUUCUAGUUCUACCUCUAGUUCAUCUAGAUCUAGUUCUAGUUCAUCUAGUUCUAGUUCUAGUUCCUCUAGUUCUAGUUCUAGUUAGUUCUAGUUGUAAUCUAGAAAAUAGGGAGAGAGAAGAGGAGAGCGGAGGAGGAGGAGCCGGAUCUGUCGGAUCUUCCUCAACAUUGUACUUUUGCAGCAACUGGUUCGUUCUUCAUCGUUCUCCAGGUUCUUCAAUUCAUAAUCCUGAGUUCUUUAAUUACUUUUAUUUACAUUCAAGUUAUUUAUUGGAUUCCCGCUUGCAUCAAGUGCUCUAAUCUUUGCAACAUUAGAGUAGUAAUUAAUAGAUUAGACGUGGUGUUUAGUCUUGCAAUUAUCUGGAAUUGCACCCAAUCCUGCGGAUUGUUGUGGUAGCCUUAGGGUAGUGACAGCCCUAACGGUCGACGUAUUCCACCUCGUUCGGAUCGGUGUUUGUAGGACCGUAGUCAGACCUUCCUAGCCCCCUUCUCAUCUCUUUCUGUGGUUAGUGCUCUGAUGUCCCGAUAUAGAUAAUCUUGAAGUAAUUCUUGAUUCUUAGAUCAACUAGAGAACUCUCAGGAAACUUCCUCUCUUCCCACCAAAAAAUAAUUAUAUAGUUAUCCUUGGGCGAUCUUGGAUCUUAAUUAGUACACUCACGUUCUCUGUGGAAAAUCGAUACUCUGGAAUACUCCCGGGUGAAAGCUACAUCGGUAUCCGUGCGCUUGCGGAUUUUUCUGUUUGCGUUUAAAAUACCCAACAAGCUUUCUGGCGCCGUUGCCGGGGAACGGUAGCUGUGCUAGUUUUGAACCAAGUCGUCCGUGUAUCCUUUUUCUUUUCCUUUUUUUACCACUCACCUUACCAUUUUCACCACACCACAUGGAUUUCACUCCUAUCUAUAAAUUCUUUGCUCCAAAGGGCGAGUUAUUAGAGCCACCACCAUCAUCACAUCUAAUUCUUACAGAUGGCUACGACCUCGGCCCUGAUCUAAUAGCCAUGAUUCAGGAGCAACCCUUCUCUGGGCAAGUAGAUGAAGAUCCAUACACCCACCUUAGAGAAUUCGAGCAGUUGUGCUCUUGCCGAUCUAUUUCUGGCAUGACACAAGAAACCCUUAAAUGGAAAUUAUUUCCGUUCUCCCUUUUGGGAAGAGCAAAGAAGUGGUAUGCUCAUUCUAUAGGAGGCGUUAAUGGAAAUUGGGACGAACUUCGGGACAACUUUUGUCUCGCUUUCUUCCCACUCUUUCGAAUCGCUGACCUUAGAAUCGAAAUUCUUACAUUCAAACAAAGAGAGAAGGAAACUUUAGGAGCAGCUUGGGCUAGGUUCACAAGCCUUACCAAUUCCGGUCCAAACCUUUCCAUGCCUGACCAUGUACUGUACUACCACUUUUAUCAUGGUCUAAGCAAGGAGGCUGCUCUUCACCUCGACAUUGCUUCAGGAGGCUCAUUCACACACAAACUCACAGAUGAGGGGAGAGCUAUCCUAGAGAGAAUCCUUGAAAAUACCCCUUACACAGGCAUUUAUGAUGAGUUUCCUGAAGAAGAAAAAGAAGUCGAGCCUGAUCUUAAACCAAAAGAUGAGGAACUUGCAACCAAGUUAGAAAUUCCACCUGACCCAUCCAUUAAUUUGGUUAUAGAGAAACCUCCUGAUAAGGGAAUGCAAAACCAACUAAGGGAUGAUGAACCACCACCUUUAGAGCAUCCCUUUGAAGAUUAUGGAAACACCUCGAAUUUUCCUAUCCAAACACGACCUCUAGCAAGGACCACUCAAUCCAUUCUAAGAGUAGAAUCUGUUGACAUAGAACACAUCAAAAGCCUUUCGGCUAUUUUGAGUUAUGAAUGGCUAACAGAAGCUGAGCUGUCUCCUGAGGUAGCUCGAAUCAUCACUCCUUCAACCAUUCUUCUAUGCCAAAUUAGAAGGUCCGCUAGGAAGGUCCACUACAAUCCAUAUGUUGGGAUAAAUGUUAUUUCCAAGGAGUUAGCUGACACUCUUUAUCCCAACGAGUCCAUAACCCCAUCUCAAAAACUUUUACAAAGUCCAUCUAGAUUAAUUCUAGAGAGCCAUGGGGUAUUAAGGGCAGUUCCUAUUAGAAUCAAGGACUCUGGAAUAUGUCUAGAUUUUCACAUUUAUGACAUACCGGAGAUUCCUCUCUUGAUUGGUAGACCAAUCAUGAAACUUCUACAAGAAGAACCACAACGAGGUCAUUUAGACUUCAAAGUUGGGAAUUCCACUAUUGUUGUUCCUCUUGCUAGAUCAAUUAACACGAUAGUGGAACCCAAACUUGAACCAGAUCCUAUUGAGGAGAUCUUAAUGUUGACUCGAGAGGAGAUGGCCCAACCAUUCUUUAAUCAUGAACACUUUGUUCAAGAAGAAGAAGAGUUGGUAGAACCCGUUGAGCUAGACAAAAAUGAACAACCUUCACCUUCUUCGAUAGAGUUAAAACCUCUUCCUUCUGGCCUUAGAUAUGUCUUUUUGCACAACAACUCAAAAACUCCAGUAAUUAUCAGUGACAAGCUUUCCGAUUAUGAAACACAACAACUUGUCACUGUUCUUGAAAGACAUAGAUCAGCAUUUGGCUACUCUCUCGAGGAUCUCACGGGCAUUAGUCCCAUUCUCUGCACUCAUCGUAUCCCUAUUGAUCCCAAUUUUACACCUUCAAGGGAACCACAACGGAGACUUAACAAUGCUAUGCGAGAGGUUGUUAAGAAAGAGGUCCUCAAACUCUAUCAUGCUGGGAUUAUUUAUCCUGUGCCACAUAGUGAGUGGGUUAGCCCUGUCCAAGUAGUGCCAAAGAAAGGAGGAAUGACGGUCAUUAGGAAUGAGAAGAAUGAACUCAUCCCUCAACGAAUUGUCACUGGGUGGCGUAUGUGUAUUGACUAUCGAAAACUCAACAAGGCUACAAAGAAAGAUCACUUUCCGUUACCCUUCAUUGAUGAAAUGUUGGAACGGCUUGCAAACCACUCUUUCUUUUGUUUCCUUGAUGGUUAUUCUGGAUAUCACCAAAUCCCAAUCCACCCAGAUGACCAAGAAAAGACUACCUUUACAUGCCCGUAUGGAACUUAUGCAUACCGACGAAUGUCGUUCGGAUUGUGCAAUGCUCCAGCUUCUUUCCAACGGUGCAUGAUGUCUAUUUUCUCAGACAUGAUUGAGAAGAUCAUGGAGGUUUUCAUGGAUGAUUUUACCGUCUAUGGCAAAACCUUCGAUCAUUGUUUGGAGAAUUUAGAUAGAGUCUUGCAGCGAUGUGAAGAAAAGCACUUAAUCCUGAACUGGGAGAAAUGCCAUUUUAUGGUUCAAGAAGGAAUAGUGCUAGGACAUAAAGUGUCCGAACGUGGUAUAGAGGUGGACAAAGCAAAGAUUGAAGUUAUUGAAAAACUUCCACCUCCCAUGAAUGUGAAAGGAAUCCGUAGCUUUUUGGGACAUGCAGGGUUCUAUAGACGCUUUAUCAAGGAUUUCUCUCAAAUUGCUAGACCCCUAACUAAUCUCCUAGCUAAGGACGCACCUUUCAUCUUUAGUGAUGAGUGUCAUGAAUCUUUUCAAACUCUUAAGAAAGCACUCAUCUCAGCCCCAAUCCAACCACCUGAUUGGAAUCUUCCUUUUGAGAUCAUGUGUGAUGCUAGCGAUUUUGCGGUUGGUGCCGUUUUAGGACAAACCAAGGAUAGAAAGCAUUAUGCCAUAUCCUACGCUAGCAAAACCUUGUCUGGACCGCAGCUCAAUUACACUACAACUGAAAAAGAGCUGUUGGCUGUUGUCUUUGCUAUAGACAAGUUUAGAUCUUACUUAGUGGGGGCAAAGAUAAUCAUCUAUUCAGACCAUGCUGCUCUCAAGUACCUCCUCACUAAGAAAGAUGCUAAGCCUCGUCUAAUUCGAUGGAUUCUUCUACUCCAAGACUUUGACAUAGAAAUCCGAGAUAGGAAGGGAGUAGAGAAUUCCGUAGCCGACCACUUGUCCAGGCUUCAAUAUAAGGAAACACAUGAUGAGCUUCCCAUAAAUGACUACCCAAGGGAUGAUACCCUGCUUAAGAUAACACAUGCAGAUCCAUGGUACGCAGACAUCGUAAACUUUAUAGUAAAAGGCUAUGUCCCACCUGGUGCAAACAAAAGGAAGUUGCUUCACGAAAGUCGUUUCCACCUUUGGGAUGAGCCAUAUCUUUUCCGAGUCUGCGCUGAUGGACUCUUGAGAAGGUGUGUUCCUAUGGUUGAGGCUACUCAAAUUAUGGAAAGAUGCCAUGCCUCGCCAUAUGGAGGACACUAUGGAGCAUUUCGGACACAUGCUAAAAUUUGGCAAAGUGGUUUUUUCUGGCCAACGAUGUAUGAAGAUACAAAGGACUUUGUCAGGAGAUGCCACCGGUGUCAAAAACAUGGGAAUAUUAACUCACGAAAUGAAAUGCCUCUCACAAAUAAUCUUCAAGUAGAACUUUUCGAUGUUUGGGGCAUUGAUUUCAUGGGGCCAUUCCCUAUGUCCGGGAAUUGCGAAUAUAUCUUAGUAGCUGUGGACUACGUGUCCAAAUGGGUAGAAGCCCUUCCUUGUCGAUCAGCUGAUUCAAAACAUGCCAAGAGAAUGUUCCAUGAAGUAAUCUUUCCUCGCUUUGGUAUAGCCCGGAUAGUUAUAAGCGAUGGAGGUUCUCACUUCAUCGACAAAAUCUUCCGAAAGUACCUAGCCGAUCAUGGAGUUCGACACAACGUUGCAACACCAUACCAUCCUCAGACUAGCGGUCAAGCCGAAACAUCUAACAAACAAAUCAAAAAUAUUUUACAAAAGACCGUAGAUGAGAUGGGUAAGGGGUGGAAGGACAAACUUUCUGAUGCACUUUGGGCGUAUAGAACUGCAUUCAUAACACCCAUAGGCAUGUCACCUUAUCAACUUGUAUAUGAAAAAACUUGUCACUUGCCUGUGGAAGUAGAGUUUAAGGCUCAUUGGGCACUCAAGAAAUGGAACAUGGAUCUCCACCUAGCUAGCGAGAAUCGUCUGAUGCAACUAUCUGAGCUAGAAGAAUGGAGAGAGAAAGCCUACCACAAUUCAAGGAUCUAUAAAGAGAGAACAAAACGAUGGCAUGAUAAGAGAAUCAAGCACAAGGAGUUUAAGCCUGGAGAUAAGGUUCUACUAUUCAAUUCAAGAGUUAAGCUCUUUGGGCAUGGUAAGCUACGAAGUAAGUGGGAUGGACCAUACAAGGUUAUUGACACUUCAACUCAUGGAGCCAUUACCAUCCAAGAUGACAUAGGUAACACUUUUAAGGUAAAUGGUCAACGCUUGAAAAUCUAUCUUGAGCCACAAAACAACCCUGUAGAGGAGCUUGAUGUGAUUGAGUUUAUAGAAUUCUCAUAUUAAGCUCUCAUAAGCUCUAGACAAUUACCUAACCCUUAACAAGUUCCACGAGUUUUGUUGUCUAUUUGGGUUGUGCAGGAUUUUGAGGCUUAAGAAGAGUGAGACCGAACAUGCAGGCCACAAGAGUGAACGACUAUGUCAACAUCCAGCUUGGGGGAGGCACCCCACGUGUAUCUAGAUAAGUAUUACUUUUCUUUCUUAGUUUUAUUUACUAGUAUUUGGAAAUAAAAAAAUGCAUAACCAUGAAACCAAACAAAGUUUUUCUUUUGAGUAAUAUACAAUAGUUUUGUGUAAUCCUAAGUUUUAAAUAAAAUAAAAAGAAAGUUUGGUUCAAGUCUAGGUAAUUGACAAACAUGAUAUGAGAAGGUCUGAGCUACUAUUUAACUUGUUCUAAGUUUUGCUAGAGUUCUGGAGAUUUUAUCUUUUGAAAAUCUAAAAAUUCAUAAAAAAAAAUAUGAGAUCAUAAUACCUAGAGUCUUAUAAGAUAUAAAUAUUAAAACUGUGGGCACUUGCUUUGUUCAAGCCAUUGUUAAUUCUUGUAGUUUUGGUUGAGAGAAUUAUCAUGCUCCCAAGAUCAAGAUCUUUUUGUUUUUAAAAUAUAAAAGAUUCACUCUUCCGAAGUAUUAUUGUGUUAGAGGCAUGGGACUAUGCAAAAUUUUGAUUCGAAAAAAAAAGUGAGACGAGAGGUAAAAAUGGACAAGUGUCCGAAGUAGAAUUAGGGGUACAAAGAUACCCACCUGAGUGGAAAAAAUAGACAUGUGUCCGACAGUAGAAUUAGGGGUACUUGCUGCCCACUUGAAAAAAAAAGAGACUGAAAAAAAAGAAGAGAAAAAAAAAGAAAAAAAAUGAUAGCCAUGGUCCCUCUAAUAAGCAAUAUGCCAGUAAGAGAUGACAAACUAUUCAAAAAGGUCAAAGGUCUUGAUCUAGGAGUAUGACAUUCCUCUCCCUUACUCCGAGCUUUGACAUAGCAAAAUGCAAAGUAAGUAUGCUAAAACUUUUAAAGCUCUACUUAUAUAUCUUUCGAGAAGAAGGCAAAUGCCUCAGUUUUAUUUUGCAGACUUAUAAAAAACUCCAGAACAAAGGUAAGACAGAAGAACUUGAGACAUAGUGCUUGACUUGAUCGUUCUGUUUUUCAAUCACUUAAGACCUUAGUGAUAAAUUAAAAAAACCCUGUAGUAAGAGGCAUAAAAGUAACCCUUGUUUUCUUGCUGAUUUUAGCUUUGCUCAGGGACGAGCAAAGGUUAAGCUUGGGGGAGCUUGUUGACGGUCCUUAAUGCUCACAUUUAACCAUCAACUAAUCAUGGAAAAGGAUCCAAAUGCAACCAACACCUAGACUUAGGGUUUUAUCUGACAGAAUUCCACGAGUUUUGGUGUUUGUCUGUUUCUGCAGGGGGUUAUCAGGAAAUACGGAAGAAAGGCCCACACGUCGGGUUUACAUAGAGAUAUUAACGUGCCGCGCAAUUUUCUAUCAUCUAGAAGACUCCAGAAGCCACGGGACCGAAGCGGAGGCCGAGAGGGCUCAGGCACAGGGCGCCCGCCCUCCCUUACUGGGCGCCCGCCCUCCCCCCUGAACCAAUCAGGGUGAAGUUCGGGGAUCAUGCUCCACCGACCUAAUACUUCAAGGAAAACCACACGAUCAAUGUCGGUUUGAUCCGACGGCCCAGAUUCACUUGAAGGGACUAUAAAACCAGACCCCCCUGGCCCCUGGAGAUCAUACCUCUUCUACAGAAACAAAGCUAGGGUUUCAAUUCUUCAUCCAAGUAGAGAGGAUCCCUCUAGUUCUUCUAGUUCUACCUCUAGUUCAUCUAGAUCUAGUUCUAGUUCAUCUAGUUCUAGUUCUAGUUCCUCUAGUUCUAGUUCUAGUUAGUUCUAGUUGUAAUCUAGAAAAUAGGGAGAGAGAAGAGGAGAGCGGAGGAGGAGGAGCCGGAUCUGUCGGAUCUUCCUCAACAUUGUACUUUUGCAGCAACUGGUUCGUUCUUCAUCGUUCUCCAGGUUCUUCAAUUCAUAAUCAUGAGUUCUUUAAUUACUUUUAUUUACAUUCAAGUUAUUUAUUGGAUUCCCGCUUGCAUCAAGUGCUCUAAUCUUUGCAACAUUAGAGUAGUAAUUAAUAGAUUAGACGUGGUGUUUAGUCUUGCAAUUACCUAGAAUUGCACCCAAUCCUGCGGAUUGUUGUGGUAGCCUUAGGGUAGUGACAGCCCUAACGGUCGACGUAUUCCACCUCGUUCGGUUCGGUGUUUGUAGGACCGUAGUCAGACCUUCCUAGCCCCCUUCUCAUCUCUUUCUGUGGUUAGUGCUCUGAUGUCCCGAUAUAGAUAAUCUUGAAGUAAUUCUUGAUUCUUAGAUCAACUAGAGAACUCUCAGGAAACUUCCUCUCUUCCCACCAAAAAAUAAUUAUAUAGUUAUCCUUGGGCGAUCUUGGAUCUUAAUUAGUACACUCACGUUCUCUGUGGAAAAUCGAUACUCUGGAAUACUCCCGGGGAAAGCUACAUCGGUAUCCGUGCGCUUGCGGAUUUUUCUGUUUGCGUUUAAAAUACCCAACAGCAGGCAGCCUCAUCAACACACUACACGUGUAGUCACCUAUUGAGAGCCGGGGAGCCAGCAGACUUGCUGUAGAUCGAGAAAUCUAGCAAUGCUCCCCAGCCCCUACCCCAAAGCUCCCAAUUGAACUCUAGUGAUUGGAUGACCUCUAAUCUAUAAACUUUGAUGAAUGUUGUGUGGUUGGCGUGUAGUCAUUGAUUUUUGAUGGUAUAAUGAUCUUUUGUUGUCUUGCUUAACAUGUGUCGUGUGAUGAUGAUGAUGAUGUAGGGACAAGAAUCCAUGGGAAUUAACUUCUCACGUGGGGGUAGAAAUGAAGAGCGAAUGUUCUUUGUUGGCAUUUGUGAAGACCCCGUGAGAAAGGAACGGAGAAUAUGUUUGGACAAAAAAGUUUUUUGUAUUAAUAUCUUUAGCCAUGUUGGUGUAAUGCUUUCUAAAAUCAUGUCUAGUGUGUAGUAUAGUCACAUAAGAGCAUCUCUACCAGAAUGAGAAAAACAAUGCUCUUACCUUCAAAAUUUUCAAGUAGGGGAAUGAGGUGAAAAAAAACCCAGCUCUAGCAGAUUUUUUUUUCUCAAUCUCCCUUCCCUAUAUUUUUCUAAAUCCCUAAAAUGGAGGGGAUCCAAUAAUUUUUUUCUCAAUACCCAUUUCUCCUCUUUCUAUCAAUGUCAUUUCAGGCCCACAUGGUUAUCACCACCGUGACACUGCCACCAUGUCAUCGCGGCGGAUGAGCGCGUGGGCCACACCGUUGUCACGCCGGCCAAACCGUUGUCAUGCAGGGCGAGUGCGGGCCACGCUGUUGCACCGCCAAGCGAGUAUGGACCACACCGCCGCCGUGGGUGAGUGUGGAGGCCACCUUGCCACCAUGGUGACCAAGCAUGGUGCCAACGAGGGAUGGAGAGAGAGAAAGGAGAUGGAGGAAGAAGAAGAUAGCUUUAGACAUUUUUUUGACGAGGAACUUUAGACAUUGAGAGGCGAGUGUUCCUCUAGACAUUGAGAGGCGAGUUUUACCCAAAUAAAAAGAUAUGUUUUCUCUAUAACUCUAGUCUCCUGGAGCCUGAUGACCUAUUUGGUCAUCCAUGCUCCAUAGAUCUUGAGACCAAUCUUCGUCUUGUCCCGUGCACGUGUAACCGGUGUAGGACUGGACCAUGCGACCCCUCCCGAUCGCUGGUGCUUCCCGCUACGUGGCGCGCACCACCCGCCCGCGUCAGCAAAAGCUCGCGCGCCAGCGAGCCUCGAUGCCAUUGCCACGGUUGCUUUGGGGGUUAAUCCCGUGAACAGCGAAAACGAAACGAAACGCUCAUGACCGAGACAACCGGUAAACUGCCUUUUCCACCUCCGCUUCUAGAAAGAGAGGGAGGGAGCAAGUCGACAGUCGCCGCCUAUUAAUACGCGCCCACCUCCAACCUCUCUCCUCUCCCUUUCUCUCUCUCGCCUCCCAAAUCCCCUCCUCGUCGCCGCCUCCCUCCUGGUUUCCAAGCCCCGUUGGGAGGCUCCCCGGCACCGGCAUUGGGUAUAACCUCGCCGCCUCCGUCCGGUAAGGUUUCUCCUCCCGAGAUCGACCCCCAUGCUUUCUUGGAAACUACUAUGUUACGUUGCUCAUCUAGUGCUCAUAGAUCUCGCCGCGCAGAAUUGCUUGUCGGGUUCGUGUAAAUUUCCUUUUGUUAUCUGUGCGUAUUCCUUGUCGUCUCCGCCUCCCCAUGCGACGGCGACGGCCGUCGCCCCCACGGGGAAUCUGUUCCGUUCCAUGUGUGGAACUGUAUCCGAAGAGCCCCCCAAAGACGAGUUUUUUAAUCGAGCCGCCCACAACACGGCCAUGAGAAAGCAGGUGGGAUGCAGAGGGAAGGGCAGGGAGGGAGAAGGGUGUUGGCCGUGGUGGUUGGCUGUGUGGGAUUCUUCCUCGCGGGGGGUCUCUGCGGCCGAGCCGGGGUUCGUCCAACUGGACGUACUUUUAUCUUGCCCUUUUCCCCGAUUCUUUUUGGAUGUAUCGCAACUGGGGGAGGGAAAUAAAAAGCAUAUCUUUGAUGAUUGCCGCACUGCACCGGUCUGGCCUUGUGUUCGAGGGCCCCCACGUAUUUUGUUCUUGUUGGUUGCGGUUGAUGGGCCGCCGUUGUGAGCAGCAUGUUGCAUCGCUGAGGCUUUCUUGCAAGCCUGGCCAGGCGCCAUCUGUUGUACAAGCCUAUUGAUUGGCUGAUUGAUGCCCCGGUGGUCCCAGUCGAUUAGUCCUGUCACGAUACGUGGUGAUUACUGACGUAAUCCCCAAUUAUGUGCUUGCCUUUUGUUUCCCAGUGCUACUGCUGAACAGUACCAUGUGCACCUGUCUCGAAUUGCUCUUUGAAUUUUCCUAGUAUUUUAGUGUGUGUUCUCAUGGACACCCUAUGCAAUUCACCACGCUAGGGAGACUUCACCGACAAUGCCAACAUCCGUGCAUCUACCAUUAGUACACAUGGGUCUCACCAAAUCAUCCAUGUUUAUGUCAUUUGUUGUAAUUUUGCCUUAAAUUGUUAAUGAUGGAUGGAUCAAACAUCAUUUUCCAACUAAUAUGUGGCGGUACAUAAAGGAAUCAUGGCUCACCAGCUGAUGUCUUUUUCAUUUUCCCUUGUAACUCCUGACUCGUGGAAAAAGGCGAUCCUGUCUUUUUCCUUUUAAAACAUGCAAGACAGGAAUAGGAACUAAGCUGUUCAAUGUUGUCAGUUAUUCUUGCAUUAGGUGGUGUGGUGUUUCAUUAGACAUUACAUGACAACACUUUUUUUGUUUUUUUAUUACUGUAGUGUAGGCUGUGAUUGUGCACAAUUAUUGUCCUUGGAACUGAUUGGUAUGUCGGAUGAAUGAGUUCUCCUUGUAAAUGAUCUGAGUUGACCAGGGUGAUGAACCAGUAUAAAGUGAUUGAUAUGUUCAAGGCUUAUCUUUUUUUUUUCUUCCAAUACAGAAUGCAGGGUCUUCACAUUUAAUGGGCUGGAUGCGGUACAUGCAUGUUUGCAGUGACAAGAACACAUUGAAACGUUGGUUUUUCAUUGACAAGAGGGUUGGUUAAGCAUUUUGGUGCACUAACCUUUUGUAGUCUGUAAUUGGUUUCACAACAAGUCUCUUGGAGUUGUGUCUUGUUGAUGGAUUUGAAGACAGGCCUCAAUUCACCUGUUAUUGCUGACCAUCUCCCUACGUUAGCAUCACCUGCUGCUGUCAUGACUUUCACAACACCUACUAGCUUUCCCUCUCCGGGGCUUUGCUUGAACACUACAAAGAAGAUACCUCUACCUGGUAAGAUUGAAGAAGUUCGUGCUACUGGAUGGCUUGACCUCAUGAAGGCCUCAUCACCUACCCGCAAAAGGCAGACCAAGGAUGCCAUCUGUGAUACUCAAUCUGAUGAUCUUGAUUUGCAAUACCGCAACUGGACGGUAUGUAUCUGAACCUAUACUGUAUGGCAUAAUUGUAACCAAUAUGUUAGUGAUUCCCAUUGCUUCACCUUUAUAGGUGAACUAUCCUUCUGCUUUGACCUCAUUUGAGGAAAUUAGUGAUCUUGCUGGGAAUAAAAGAUUGGCAUUGUUUCUUGAUUAUGAUGGAACACUUUCACCGAUUGUGGACAAUCCUGAAAAUGCAUUAAUGUCUGAUGAGGUAUGUUUUCCUUAAGUCCAACAGUUCUUGUAAAAUUAGCAUUCCAGUGCAAUUUCCAGUCCACUUUCUAAACAUUGUAUUUCACAGAUGCGUGCUGCAGUGAGGCAUGUGGCAUCACUUUUCCCAACUGCAAUCAUUAGCGGAAGGUCUCGUGAUAAGGUAUACAAUGUUAUUGUUCAUUACACAAAUUACUCCUAUCAGCAUUGCAUCUUUCUCUCAUUGAUUUUUUUAGGUUUUUGACUUUGUCAACCUAAAUGAACUAUACUACGCUGGAAGCCAUGGAAUGGACAUAAUGGGCCCUGUUAGGAAGACUACUGACUCCAAUGGCGUGGAAUGUAUUCGGUCAACUGAUGCGCAUGUGAAACUACUUUCUAGAUCUUUACCCUCAUAAUUUAAAUUUCUUACUCGCUUUCGUAGUGUGAAUCUCCUUUUCCUCCUCGUAGGGUAAAGAAGUCAAUCUGUUCCAACCUGCUAGUGAGUUUUUACCUAUGAUCACUGAGGUAUGCUGUAUCAACUUCUUGAGUUUAAGUUGCCAUCUUAUGUCAUAUGGUUGGACUUACUCAGUGGUGUACAUGCCAGGUGUAUGAAAAACUUGGUGAGAGUGUUAAGGACAUUGAUGGUGCAAGGAUGGAAGACAACAAGUUCUGUGUGUCUGUGCAUUACCGUAAUGUGGCGGAAGAUGUAAUAGUUCUAUAUCUUAGUGUUUAUAUCAUACAGAAAAUGUGCAUUGGGAUUAUUUGAGCUGAACACGGACCAUUUAAACUCAAAUUCCUAUUCUUGCUUCUUAGGACUAUAAAAAGGUUUUCCAUCGUGUAAGUGCUGUUUUGGAAGAUUACCCUUGCCUAAGACUAACCCAUGGGAGAAAGGUGAGGAUUAUGCACCUUUAGAAGGCUUUCCUUAUUAAAAUAUUUGUUGUAAGCAGUCUGAAUUUGAUUAAUAUUCAAUCACACUCUUCAAUCCAGGUUUUUGAGGUCCGUCCUGUUAUUGAUUGGAACAAAGGUAAAGCUGUGGAGUUUUUACUCGAAUCACUUGGGCUCAACGAGAGUGAAGAUGUUCUCCCUAUCUAUGUUGGAGAUGACAGAACAGAUGAAGAUGCAUUCAAAGUAUGCCUAGUUCACUUGAAUGGACUUCUAAAGCAUAUAUUUCCACAACACAUAAUUUACUCUUGGUUCAAAUAGGUUCUGAAGGCAAGCAACCGUGGCUUUGGAAUAUUGGUGUCAUCUAUACCCAAAGAGAGUGACGCCUUCUAUUCCUUGAGGGAUCCAGCUGAGGUAACUCAUAGCACUGUGGCAACCACAACAAAUUUUUGCCUUUGAAUAUUUCUUGGUUCAAAAGGAAAAUUGAAAACUUUUGAACGUUUGACUAUGUGUUGGGUAUUGCAAGUUUAGAGAAAUGAAACAUUCUGUUGAUGCAUAUAGGUGAUGGAAUUUCUGAGAAUGUUGGCAGCAUGGAAGGAGCAGUCCACCUGAUACCAGUUUUGCUGGGUCUGGAGAAGAACCAAGAUUAUAAAUAUUAGCAAGAUAUAUAAUGCUAACCAAAUAAGUCGGCUAUUUGGAGGAGUCAAGCCAAAAUAUUUUUGAUUUGGCAAUUUAUAAGAGGCUACCAUGUUUUGAUACCUUUUCAGUCCCACUUUGUUCUUGUGUUAAAUGGGUUUCUCAAUCAGUUUAAUUCUUUCAUUAUUUAGUUUCCUUUAGUAUAUAUGGAAAUAUUCUUGAAAAGGAAUUUUGUUUCCUGCUAGUGUUUCGCUGUGUCGUGAAUUUUGUAUUCUUCAAGCUGUAAAGGAUCGGUUUUUCGUUUAAACAACAUUUUAGCUGACAAUGGCUCAUGGAAAGUCAAGUUAUGAACAAGGAGCCGCGGAGACCUACAUUGCAGUUGCAGGCAUGUUGCGUGCCUGGGCUUUCUUUUUUAUCUUUGCUGCAAGUGUGUCUGGAAUUCUGUCUGCUGUUCCGAAUAUCUAUUCCAUGUUGAGCUGGAACAGUAUAAUCUGGCGAUCAAAAUGCUCAGCUCGCUAUUCGCGAAUGUGCCGAUGUGUUGUGUCGCUAUUUCGCAUUAGUUUAGUCUCGUCUGAUAAAAUUAUAGUGAUAAUUUCAGUGUAGUCGGGUGAAUUUCUAUGGCUACUGUCGUGACCUUGAAAUAGCGAUCAUGUUAGAUGGCAAACAGCUGGACUGCGGACAAUCCUAUUUACUUAAGCUUAUCUUUCUGUCAGCUAUUUAGUACUAGUAUGCUAUGUUUCUUUGGUCCAAGCGAACAGAUCCAAUAAAAAUGUUUCUAUGGAGAAGAAGAAAGAGUUUUUUCCCCUUCUUUGGCAUAUGUUUCAAUUUUUUUUGGGAGGAUUGCAUCCAUUUCGAUUCUUUUGAGAUGAAGCAUCCAUUUCAGUUGAUAUAUUUUGAUUCGAAAAAACUGAACUACAAAUUGAAUUGCACCAUCUAUUUCUAGUUUCUUGCAGAGACUCAUAGGAAUAGAUAUUUUGGGUAGAAAGAUCUUUAAAUAAUGCACCAUCUAUUUCUAGUUUCUUGCUCGCUAAAGAUAAAAAGCGUGGAUAUAUAGCUCUCUAAAGUGUUACAAGAUAUAGAGAAGCUGUUGGAAGAGAGAAAGUUAUAAAGAUCAAAUUUUAUUUAAAUUAAAAGAAAAAUGAGAGUGAGUUUAAGAAAGACGGAGACGAUGCAACUGGGUCAUGCGGCCCACCGCACUUUCCAGGUGACGACAGUUCGGCCCAUGACCCCUAGCCCAUACACAAUCAGACCGAGUUCCUUCUAACCCAUCACGGCACUUCGACGGGCCACACACACUUUUCCUUUGAGGACCACUCCUCCUCCUUGCACUGUAGAGUCCAAAACCCUACGAUCCGCGCCACCAUGCCGCGCCUCGCCGCCGCCGCCGCCGUAUCACGCCGCGCCGGCGAGGCCCUGCGCCGCGGCGCGCUUGGGAGACUGCGGCUUCUCUCCUCCCUCCAACCGUCGAACGCCGCCUCCAGCGACGAGGUAACCAAGCGCCUGGUCCGCCGAUCCCACCGUCGUGGCAUCCUCCUUCGGCAUCGGAGGCGCGGGGGUUCCGUCGCUGACACCGUAUUUUGCGCAGGUGCUCGUGGAAGGAAAGGCUACUGCGCGCGCCGCCGUGCUCAACCGCCCCGGCUACCUCAAUGCCCUCACCACCACCAUGGUUCGUCCCCAUUUCCUCGCGUUGGUGCGCAGUUUUGUUUUGGUGGUGAUUGGAAGGCUCUUUGUUCGACGAGAUGCUUUACAUAGUUGUGUGGUGAUGGGGUUUGGGCUCACAGCUCACUGAGCUGUAGGUGUAUUGUUUGAUGAAAUGAGUCGGUGAUCAUGCUCCAUAGCAGUUUGGUGAAUUAUGCUCUCUUUUAGUCCCCUGCUAUCUUUUUGCGGAGCAUGUGUAUAAUGUAAUGCCCACACAGUCAUUUAUGCGUGCUGGGCGCCUUGGUGUUGGGACUUGGGUGAACUAUCCUUUUCUUCAACAAAGGCGGAGCUUCCACAGAUUGAUUCUGUCCCUUCCUUGCAGUGCAAAUGAUUUUUAGCCUUAGUUUAUUCGUGUGUUGAUAUUGCUGACUUCAUUUGUUUUUUCUGUCCAUGGCUGUAUGGAUUAUAGCUUACAGAUUUACAUUGGAAACAGUUGAUCUGAUUCUUGGUGAAAUGUGUGUCUUGAUAGGGAGCUAGGCUUAAUAAAUUUUAUGAAUCAUGGGAGGACAACCCAGACAUUGGCUUUGUCAUGAUGAAGGUAUGGUGCUUCAUCAUUUCAGUUCUGCUAAUAUUGCUGACCAAAUAUAAAUUGAGUUGUUCAUUGCAUGAAGGGCAGCGGCCGAGCAUUCUGUGCUGGUGGGGAUGUUGUUAGAUUACGUGAACUUAUCAGUGAAGGUGGGUGGUUAGGCCUUGCAUAGCAUAUAGUUUGUAUCCCAUUGCGAACUGUUGAUAGUAAUCAUUCCGUUAUAUUUCUGUCACCUGCUUAUCCUUUUUAGUAAACUGUCUGUCAAUGCUUGUUUUUGCUUUCACAAAACAACAGCAAGUUAUUAUGAUGACACAAUUUGUCAAAACAACUCUCCAUUUGCUUGCUUGCUGAAUCUGCUUUAUUUGUCUCUAGAAAAGGUCGAUGGAAAGAACGAAAAUCAAAGGUUUUUUUUUAUCCAAUUUAUUGUACAAGAAGUUCCUUAAAUUUGGAUGGUCCGCUGUAAACUUGUGCAUUGUAAAAAUGUUUUGUGCUGUUCAAGUUUACCUUAAAUUUAAUAUUUUUCCUUAUCAGGCAAGCUGGAGGAAUGCAAGGAUUUUUUCAAGACUUUGUACAUGUUCAUUUAUUUUCUGGGCACAUACUUGAAACCACAUGUAAAGUAUAUUGAUCCAGAACUAUUUUCUUGUUACAAUUCAUUGUAAUAUUUUUGAUUUUACAUCUGAGAUUGCAUUUAUCUGCUAAUAUAGAUUGCCAUUCUUGAUGGUGUUACUAUGGGUGGUGGUGGAGGUGUUUCCAUUCCUGGAACGUUCCGCAUUGCAACUGAUAGAACAGUAUGUCAAUAUAUUUUUACUCAUUCGCUUAUAUUUUCCAUAGAUUUCUGUGGCGAGCUUAUGCUAUUUUCCUCUUUGUGCUUCCUCUAUUUCUUGCAUAGUUUGCAGUCAGGUAUUUGACAUGUUUUUUUAAUUUGCCGAUUUUAGGUCUUUGCAACUCCAGAAGUUCAUAUUGGAUUCCAUCCUGAUGCUGCAGCCUCAUUUUAUUUGUCGCAUCUAACUGGUCAUGUUGGUUAGUGCUCUUAUGUGGAAUUACAUCUUGUCCCUGCUACUUUAUUGGUGGUUGUGCUGUCCAUUGCAGAAUAGGAAUAUGUAAUCAGUCUGCUAGUUUUCACACUGGGAGCCUUGCAGGGGAAUAUGUGGCCUUGACUGGUGAAAAGCUCAAUGGAACAGAUAUGAUUGCUCUUGGCCUUGCUACACACUAUUCCAUGAGUGGCGUAAGAUUCUUUUACUAUAUAUUUCAUGUUUGAAGUCCAGAUAUUUCUACUGCGGUAUUUUAAAUUAACUUAUGAACAUUUUGUGUUUGUUUUUUGGGACAGCAUCUGGAUCUGAUCGAUGAACGACUUGCAAAGUUAGUAACUGAUGAUCCAUCAGUUAUUGAUUCUUCCCUUGCACAAUAUGGAGACAUGGUUUAUCCAGACAAAGAAAGCAUUGUUCAUAGGUAAUCUAUUUUACCAAACAUUGCUCAUCAAACACUUUACCAUGUGUCAUCUCCAAAAUCCGUUUUUGGGGUUUUUUUGGAUACAUAAUUAUUAAUUACACACCCUGUAGAAAAAGGCAGAAAUGUUAGGUUUAUCCAUUUAUGAACAAGAAUUGAAAGCAUUGCUUGUUCUUUCCUGGAAUAGAUUUGAGCAUGGCGGGCUUUGAUCUGUCUUCCUUUCCUUCGUGCCAUUACUUUUGGGCAUGUCAGUUUAUUUUCUUCAUAAAAAUGUUAUAUUGGUUGGAUUUAUAUAUGCGCUUGAGAUGGUGAAAUCUUGGUGCUGCAUUAUCUGCUCUUUAAAAAAUAAUCGACUGUUUCUUCUUUUUAGUUAAGAGUAGGUAUUGGCCCAUGUGUUGCUAUGGGCACAUAAUAAAAUUUAAACGAUACUAAUAUUUUUUUUAAGUUUAAAUCCUAACAAACAAUAAUUUGCUCAUCCCUUGCCUCUUUAUUUUGUAGCCCAUUGCCUCUUUCUUUCUAUAGAAUCAAUCGGUGGUGGCUGUAUAAGCAUGGGAAAUGAUGUCUAAAUGCCCUGCCUCUUUUCUUCUGAACCUCUUUUCCCCUUUGGUCUUCCACUUUUGCAUUUCAGGAAGCAAUCUGCUCCGUAAUAUGGCCACUGUUAUCUUGCCUGAAAGUAAAUGUAAGGAACAAGUGUUGUAAGCACAAACAUCUAUACUUGAUGAUGAAAUUAACUUGGCCACUAUUGUCUUGCCUAAGUAACGUAAAGAACAAAUAUUGUAAGCACAGACAUCUGUACCUGAUGAUGAAAUUCACUAAAAUCACUGCAUGAUCCAGAGCACUCACGGGAACCUAAUUUCAUAUCAACAAUAUGAGACACCCGAUGAUAUGAAGUCCAUAAACUAAAGCACGGGCUAAUAAUCUGAGAUAACAGGUGAUAGUGUGGACUCUGGUUCAGACCAACUGCAAGACGAGAGCUUCAGUUUGUGGUGAAGCCACUGCCACCAUCUGUGCUGGUGUCCAGGUCUUUCACCGCGACCACAUCACAGUGUACACGAACACACGGACAGCCCAGAGCAGUGGAUUCGGGUAUGAGAAAUAGCUCUCUGCCGGUGAGCAGGCCAGCCCGCUCCCUCUGCUCGUACUCAUGCCUCCACUACCCCCGUGCUUAGCUCGCGCAGCUCUGCCACCAGGGUCGCGCACCUCACAUCCCUGGCCUGAUCUGUGGCCAUCAAGCAUCUUGCCGCAAGUCCAGUAUCCGUGCCACCUCGGUGUGCGCUCCUCCACAACAUGUGGCACAGCGCUCCGCCACAACACGGGGCACAGCGCUGUGCCGCAACACGUGGCGCAGCGCUCCCGGCAACCUCCAGACACAGAUCCAUGUCCACCACCACUGGCCUCUGCACCAUGGCAUCCUCACAUCCAACAUCCAUUAACCUCGCUAGAGGCAUUGGAGAGAUCAUCGCCGUCCACUCAUUGCCAUCCACUCCUGCCAAGAGCACACAUAAACGGCUGAAUACAUUUACACAGUUCAUCAGUAAGGCAUGUGCAAAAGAAGAGCACCUUAUGAAACUUUUUUUUUUCACCGAGUGUGUCAAGGGUCACACAUUUUGAAGUAGGCAAGAUGUGCUGUAAG
RNAcentral lists this long non-coding RNA (29486 nucleotides) under Sorghum bicolor (sorghum). RNAcentral's name for it is "long non-coding RNA (SBIC_LNC001400)". Lineage: Eukaryota; Viridiplantae; Streptophyta; Magnoliopsida; Poales; Poaceae. The record is from RNAcentral.